RNAcentral lists this ribosomal RNA (456 nucleotides) under uncultured bacterium. RNAcentral's name for it is "bacterial SSU rRNA". It matches the Rfam family "Bacterial small subunit ribosomal RNA", at positions 791 to 1242 of the family's 1533-position model. The record is from RNAcentral.
UAGUCCACACCGUAAACGAUGAGAGCUAGUUGUCUGCAAGCAUGCUUGUAGGUGACGCAGCUAACGCAUUAAGCUCUCCGCCUGGGGAGUACGGUCGCAAGAUUAAAACUCAAAGAAAUUGACGGGGGCCCGCACAAGCGGUGGAGCAUGUGGUUUAAUUCGAAGCAACGCGCAGAACCUUACCUACCCUUGACAUGCCGGUCGCGAUUUCCAGAGAUGGAUUUCUUCAAUUCGGUUGGACCGUGCACAGGUGCUGCAUGGCCGUCGUCAGCUCGUGUCGUGAGAUGUUGGGUUAAGUCCCGCAACGAGCGCAACCCUCACUUUUAGUUGCCAGCAUUUAGUUGGGCACUCUAGAAGAACUGCCGGUGCUAAGCCGGAGGAAGGUGGGGGAUGACGUCAAAUCAUCAUGGCCUUUAUGCCUAGGGGCUACGACACGUGCUACAAUGGGCAGGGUAC